GAUGCUAGCUGGACUCGGAUGGCUCCAUCAGGAAUAGUGGAGCUGCCUUGACCGUAGACUGCAGGAAAUUCGAAAACUGUUCUGAACAGUCCUUCCUAAGCCCCUGGUUUCCUGCACUUGCUCUCUUUUCCUUUUCAUAAUUUUGAGUAUCUGUUUUCAUUAAUUUUGUUCAACAUAUGCCCUUUGUGGAUAAGUGCUUGAAAUCAGACUUAGCGGCAGUUACAAAGGAGAUGCAUGUAUGGUGGGACUGGGUGGGUUCAAGUCUUCUACACACAGAGGCCAAAGCUGGUGCCGUUUCAGGGAUUGCCCUGAGCCUUGCUUUUGCUCAUGCCUGUGUGUGUCCAUGAGCUCCAACCUCGUCUCCACGGAAAGAAGGCUGAGUGGAACAUCUGCAGGCAGGGAGCAGGCAAAGCCACCAGGCAGUAUGAACACGUGUCCCUCUUCUCCAGGUAGUCCGAAGCAGGGCAGUCAACCCCAUCAGUGCACCAGGGCCCGUGUCUACUUUUCCGUCUAGACUGGCAUCUCCAUUCUCCCACCCCGGGUUUCCUCCCUGAUCCAUUUCUGCCCUGCCCUGAGGCAGCGAAGAGCCCCUCACAGUGUUCUCACUAAUUACCUCUGAUGUGUGGUUGGCAACCUUAUUUGCGAGGCUCUGUCUAUAUUCUGUACCAGGUUGGCCUCGCCCCUUGGGAGAUAAGAAAAAUGUGUGUCUUUGAAUCAAAAGAUCUGAAAAUAUAGUCAAGAUGUACUCCUGUGAUCCCUUAAUGUAGUUUAAGCCAGGGCCCCUUUAUUGUCUCUCAAACACCAUUUCCCAAAUGCACCGCAGUGUCAGCCUAUUCUUCAAAGGGGCUGUACAGAGAGCACUGAUGUCUCCAGCUGGAAGCAGACAUGAAGGACAGACUCAAGCCUGCUGCUCAUCACUCGGCAGAAGAGGCCCUGCUUCUCCAUGGAGACUAGGGAUAAGAGCAGAAAUGUCUCUGAAUUUCAAAGUCUUCUGAUGCCUGCUUCCUGAAGACAGCAGUAUGAAAGGAUACAACCACUGCCAGCCCGUGGGAUGAACCAUCAGCAAAUGGGUGUAUGAACAAUAAUUUUGGGAAGACUACAGGAUGCAUACUAAAGAACUGAGCCUAAAAGAGACAAAUAUCCAAAUUGUAAAUAACCUGAAGGCCACGCUUACAACUUCUGAGCAGAGGACGUGAGGAAAAGACCAUGACAUGAAAUCUGUAGCCCGCAGCACUAGAUGCCCAGUCCUGAAAUGAUUGAUUCUGAUCGCCUUCCUCCUCUACAGAGAACAGCCGGUAGUUGCAUUCUACAGCAGCAGUUUCGACAUUCUCCAAGACCAGAACAAGGGCCCUGGACCUAGGCUUCCAGAAUCCCUCCCGGUCGGCCCUGAGUUCCUUCACUUCUAUUCUUCGCAUUUACAGCAUCAAAUAGAGACUGUCUCUGUCGUGAGAAUAUGGUUUGGAUUUAUCGGUAAAAAUAGCAAACAGUUUUUUAUGACUGCAGAUUACCGUAAUAGCUGUUAGGAAGAUUGAGAUAGAAAAUAACAGAAGCUAAGUCAUUUGUUUUUGUUUUUCAAAGCAGCAUUUCUCUGUUGCUUUGGAGGCUGUCCUGGAA
Long non-coding RNA from Mesocricetus auratus (golden hamster), 1614 nucleotides. RefSeq lists it as uncharacterized. The record is from RefSeq and is a predicted model, not a curated record. The transcript has 3 exons. NCBI's taxonomy places the organism in Eukaryota, Metazoa, Chordata, Mammalia, Rodentia, Cricetidae.